This is a long non-coding RNA of Sebastes umbrosus (honeycomb rockfish), 3220 nucleotides long. RefSeq lists it as uncharacterized. The transcript has 3 exons. The record is from RefSeq and is a predicted model, not a curated record. NCBI's taxonomy places the organism in Eukaryota, Metazoa, Chordata, Actinopteri, Perciformes, Sebastidae.
UGAUAGUAGAGGUGAUAAUGAUGUUAGCCUAACAGCAAGAGUUUCCCGUUGGGAGAAAGUGAGUCUUUGUGUCCAUUAAUCAACAUAUAGAGGAUUACUUCCUGUUUGACACCAUUGAAUGUCAGUGCAAAAUGAGACAACAGCUGGAGAGGGAAUUGAACCAGCAACCCUGUUGGCAGACAUUUGCAGUCAGGGAAUAAUCUCCGGUGCGGUCAUGAUGGAAUGGAGGCCAGCAAAGAGCGAAGGUUAUUCUCAGAGGGAGAGGCGAGGAAGGAGAGGCACAAAUGGCACAUCAGCAGCUGAGGCUGGAGGGCACGACGAGUGAUGACGUGAUAAGGUCAGGACAAAAAAAAAAAAGAAGCAGAAAUGUAUUCAACAGAAUAACAUCUAAUGCAGCAACAAUAGAGAGAGAGCAGCACUCCCACACACAGCAAUAAAAACCUGUACAAGCACAUGCAUGUGUUUGGGCAGAUGUGUUCAUAAGCACACCUGAAACGCUAUACUAUUCUCUACCAUCCCUGUCUGGAACAUUGUUAUGUUUCAGUGUGGCUGACGCCCAGUGUGUUUCUUUUAUCUGUAACAUAAUACUUCUCAAAGUUUCAUCCUGCCUCUCUUUGAUUUAUUCUCUCGUCUCUAUUAAACACUUAUUUUUCUGUGUGUGUGUCUCACGGAAACCCUCUUCAAAUCUCGAGACAGAGAUCCCUGACCAGCUCUGAUCCCCGCCUGAGGCCGACAGGAUGAGUGGAAAGGAAGGCUGGAAAUUUAAUAGGCUGAGGGGACUCAGUCUUUUUUUUUUUCUAAAUAUCUGUCUCCCACAUAUCCUUAUAACCUCUCUUAUCAAAACAUUUAUUCUAGCUGGGCUGAUGCUUUUCUUCUUUCUCUGGCGGCAUCUGUUUUUGUUUUGUGUAUCUCUUCACUCCCUAAAACUCUUCCUCCCUCUGAUAGAAAAUACAUUUGGUUGAGAUAGUAUGAAAGAGAAAAUCAUGUACAGGUAGCACCGCACGCUCUGUGUUUUCUUCCACUUAAUUACGCAAGUUGCGUAAUUGUGGGAUUUACGUAGCAUGUUGAAAGACUCAUAGCAGAUACUGCAAACGCCCGGAGACAAAUCCCUAGGAAAUAAACAAGGUGGUUUCCGUUUGCUGAGAGGUUUUGUAUAGCUGUCAGGACUUCCCCAGACUUCCUUUAAUCCACUUUUAGAGCUGUCGAGCUUUCCACCGUCUCUUUUUCUGCGAGUUUCUUUUUUUGAGCCAUCAAGUUUUCUCUGCUUUACUGUCAUUCGCAGAAGAAGCCCUGCAUGGUCUUCCCUGUGUGUGUGUGUGUGUGUGUGUGUGUGUGUGUGUGUGUGUGUGUGUGUGUGUGUGUGUGUAUCUGUGUGUGCCUGUACGGGCUGUGGGAGGAUUAUAAUAGUCUCAGUGUUUGUGUGUGCUUUCUCUCUGUGUGUUUGUGUACAUGUGUAGAGUAUGCAUACAUGGGAGAUCCCAGCCAUCUGACUCUUGGCUGCAGCAGCAGCAGAGAGGAGGUGUAUUUGUGGGUUGUGAAUUUCUAAAUAUGUGUUUCACGAUUGGUUAUGCGUUACAUACAUUCGUGUAUCAUGAGGAGGUCCCGUGUUUGAGCAGCGGAAGUCUCUGAAAGUCAGUCCUAGUGUUGUGUGUGUGAGUGAGAACUGGGUUCCUGUUGCUGAUCGUCUAGUUUUGGAGCUGCUGAAAAAGUAGUGAGUCAUUCCUAAGAAGAAAUCAAUACAUGUGUUUAGAGCAGUUCCCGGUGAGCUAAGUGGAAGAAGGUGUAUUACAGGAAUAGCAGCUUGUACAUAUGAAAUCAUCCAGGUGUUUUGCAUAAAAAUAAUUUAUCAUGAACUGGACUUGUACCCAUUAUUAUUUAUCACGCACUAGUUCACUUCCUCAACCCUCUUCCUCCUCCUUUUCCCCUCAUUUUUUGGGAGACAUUAUAGAACGGAAAAGCACCUUCAGCCGUGAUUAACCCCCCACUGCCUACGGGAUAUACAGUCAGAGUGUGUGUUGUGAUCCUCUCACAGUGCCAGGACGUGUGUCUGCCUGCCCAGCCAAGCCUAGGGACAGUCAGACACACAGUGUGUCUACACAUAGAAAUACACACACACACACAAACACACGCACACACACACACACACACACACACUGCCCCCUCCUGUUUCCCCUGCAGCUCUGGAGCUCUGAACCAGCUAACCCAGGCUGGGCUCCAUCCCUGCCCGAGGGAGGCCCUCUCCUGCUGGGGCCACAGUCCCGUUGACACCCUCCUAUAGUCUGGACUUUAUCCACUCCAUCUGUGAGCUUGUUUUCUAAAGUUACCUGUCUGGGGACGUGGCUAAGCAAAGACCACAAGAUUAGACCCGCUGAUAAGACGGUAAUAAUUCUUUACUAUCUGACAAAACGUAAUCAGUACACCCAGCGUGCCUAGACAACAACAGCCUGCAAGAGCACACACACACACCUCUCCGCAGAGGGUUCUCAAAUGAUCCGAACACAACCACUGGGACAACCUCUGCCAAAAUCUCGUCAGUAUAUAAUAUAUUAAAGUGACCUGUCUCUGCAGCGUCAGUGCAGCAACAGAUUUACAGCUCAUUUCAGUCCAUAACAUACUGUGUAAAACAAUGCAGUUUAGCACAAUACAAGUUGACAGACUUGUAUUACAACACAUAAUAACAACCCAAUAAGUCAGCACAAUGCAGUUGCAACAUAUAGUACGUAACACUACCCGACAGCAACAGAUUACAAAACACAACUCCAACAACAGACACCAACAGAACACAACGGCGGCAGGCCUCAAAUUAACUAUUAAAAUAAAUUAUCAAUUUUUUAGCGGUAGAAAGUACAAAGUAUAUUUACUCAAGAACUACAGGCUACUUAUGAACAAUUUUGAGGUACUUUACUUGAGUAUUUCCAUUUCAUGCUACUUUAUACUUCUACUCAACUAAAUUUCAGAGGGAAAUAUUGUACUUUUUACUCAACUACAUUUAUUUAAAAGCUUUACUAGUUACUUUCAUAUGGAGAUUUUACAUUAGACACAUAUGAUCAGUUUAUGAAAUGAUGCAUUAUUAUAGAUUAAACUACCCAAAAGUAUACAAAGCAGUUAAAAUUAGCAUUAAAAUUAAAUUUAUGCUUACUGUACAUGUUAAUGCAUCAAUAAUUAUGAUCCAAUAACAUUAUAUUAUAACAUUGACAGAGGCAUAAUGAUACUACUACUA